UACGGAGGGGGCUAGCGUUGUUCGGAAUUACUGGGCGUAAAGCGCGCGUAGGCGGACCUGCAAGUCGGGGGUGAAAGCCCGAGGCUCAACCUCGGAACUGCCUUCGAUACUGCGGGUCUCGAGUCCGGGAGAGGUGAGUGGAAUUCCUAGUGUAGAGGUGAAAUUCGUAGAUAUUAGGAAGAACACCAGUGGCGAAGGCGGCUCUCUGGACCGAGACUGACGCUGAGGCGCGAAAGCGUGGGGAGCAAACAGG
RNAcentral lists this ribosomal RNA (253 nucleotides) under uncultured bacterium. RNAcentral's name for it is "partial 16S ribosomal RNA". It matches the Rfam family "Bacterial small subunit ribosomal RNA", at positions 524 to 776 of the family's 1533-position model. The record is from RNAcentral.